CAACGAUAAAAACAUCAAUGAAAAACAGGCCAGAAUAAAAAGAUCAGUGAACGACAGGACUGAAUAAAACAUCAAUAAAAGACAGACCGGAAUAAAAAAAACAUCAAUGGAAGGAAAAAACAAAAUUAGAGCAGACGAGAAUAAAAACAUCAAUGAAAGAAAACAAAGUCAAACAGAAAUAAUCAUGAAUGAAAGGAAAGAGCGUAGAACG
RNAcentral lists this long non-coding RNA (211 nucleotides) under Mytilus galloprovincialis (Mediterranean mussel). The record is from RNAcentral. Lineage: Eukaryota; Metazoa; Mollusca; Bivalvia; Mytilida; Mytilidae.